GACGAACGCUGGCGGCGUGCCUAAUACAUGCAAGUCGAACGGUCUUUUCUAUGGAAGCUUGCUUCCACUGAGAAGAUAGUGGCGAACGGGUGAGUAACACGUGGGUAACCUGCCCAUAAGAGGGGGAUAACAUCCGGAAACGGGUGCUAAUACCGCAUAGUUUUCUUGAUCGCAUGAUCGAGAAAGGAAAGACGGCCUUUGUGCUGUCGCUUAUGGAUGGACCCGCGGCGUAUUAGUUAGUUGGUGAGGUAACGGCUCACCAAGACGAUGAUACGUAGCCGACCUGAGAGGGUGAUCGGCCACAUUGGGACUGAGACACGGCCCAAACUCCUACGGGAGGCAGCAGUAGGGAAUCGUCCGCAAUGGACGAAAGUCUGACGGAGCAACGCCGCGUGAGUGAAGAAGGUUUUCGGAUCGUAAAACUCUGUUGUCAGAGAAGAACAAGUCGGAGAGUAACUGCUCCGGCCUUGACGGUAUCUGACCAGAAAGCCACGGCUAACUACGUGCCAGCCGCCGCAGUAA
RNAcentral lists this ribosomal RNA (522 nucleotides) under uncultured bacterium. Its description in RNAcentral is "partial 16S ribosomal RNA". It matches the Rfam family "Bacterial small subunit ribosomal RNA", at positions 28 to 523 of the family's 1533-position model. The record is from RNAcentral.